This 253-nucleotide ribosomal RNA is filed under the name uncultured bacterium. Its description in RNAcentral is "partial 16S ribosomal RNA". It matches the Rfam family "Bacterial small subunit ribosomal RNA", at positions 524 to 776 of the family's 1533-position model. The record is from RNAcentral.
UACGUAGGGGGCAAACGUUGUCCGGAUUUACUGGGUGUAAAGGGUGCUCAGGCGGUUUUGUAAGUCAGAAGUGAAAUCCUAGAGCUUAACUCUGGAACUGCUUUUGAUACUGCAAGGCUUGAAUGUGGAAGAGGAGGAUGGAAUUUCUGGUGUAGCAGUGAAAUGCGUAGAUAUCAGAAAGAACACCAGUGGCGAAGGCGGUCCUCUGGUCCACUAUUGACGCUAAAACACGAAAGCGUGGGGAGCAAACAGG